RNAcentral lists this ribosomal RNA (513 nucleotides) under uncultured bacterium. Its description in RNAcentral is "partial 16S ribosomal RNA". It matches the Rfam family "Bacterial small subunit ribosomal RNA", at positions 28 to 523 of the family's 1533-position model. The record is from RNAcentral.
GACGAACGCUGGCGGCAUGCCUAAUACAUGCAAGUCGAGCGAACAGAUGAAGUGCUUGCACUUCUGACGUUAGCGGCGAACGGGUGAGUAACACGUAAGGAAUCUACCUAUAAGCGGGGGAUAACAUUCGGAAACGGGUGCUAAUACCGCAUAAUAUCUUCUUCCGCAUGGAAGAAGAUUGAAAGACGGCUCUGCUGUCACUUAUAGAUGACCUUGCGGUGCAUUAGUUCGUUGGUGGGGUAAUGGCCUACCAAGACGAUAGUGCAUAGCCGACCUGAGAGGGUGAUCGGCCACAUUGGGACUGAGAAACGGCCCAAACUCCUACGGGAGGCAGCAGUAGGGAAUCUUCCGCAAUGGGCGAAAGCCUGACGGAGCAAUGCCGCGUGAGUGAAGAAGGCCUUCGGGUCGUAAAACUCUGUUAUAAGAGAAGAACAAAUUGUAGAGUAACUGCUACAGUCUUGACGGUAUCUUAUCAGCAAGCCACGGCUAACUACGUGCCAGCCGCCGCCGUAA